Astatotilapia calliptera (eastern happy) is the source of this 1055-nucleotide long non-coding RNA. The record is from Ensembl. NCBI's taxonomy places the organism in Eukaryota, Metazoa, Chordata, Actinopteri, Cichliformes, Cichlidae.
CUGCCUCAGUCACUCAGAAUCCAACAUCUGGUCACAUGUACUCAACUGGCUGGAGAAUACGAUCUUCUAACCUUGGAUGGAUCUGUGAGUCCAUGCCAGCCUCAUGCUGUAACACAGGUACAGAGCAUAAUUGCAUCAUUGUUUUUCAAAGAUUAAGCUUUGUUUCAUCAAGAUUUGUUUUGCAGUAUUCAUUUCAUUGCUUUCUUUUUAAUUUCUCGCUGCAUUGUUUGGUUUAUUUUGAUUACAUAGUUUUUUUCCUUUUGCUUCUAGAUACCAUUGAGUAUGUCCUUUCUUCCAUUGUACAUCACUGUUGAAGGAAGCUGAGGCUGAGUCAACAUCAUCUUGGGAAGCCUUUCUAGGAACACUUCAUUUAUUACCAUUUGCCAUGUAUUUAUUACUUGAAUGCUAAUACUGAUAUUUAUGUUAUAUCCUGGCAUUUUUAGAGAAAAGCCACUCAGAAUAAAAACAUUUAUGUGUACAUUUCAAUCGAAACAAUACAUCUAGACUUUUUUUUUGCUAUUCCUGACUACAUAUCCAGUUCAACUGAAGUACCUAUGAAAGUAAUUUAGAGAACUGAGAUAUUGAUUCAGCACCACAUUGCAUGAAUUUAUGUUUUUUCAAAUUAAUUCCUUUCUUUUGCCUUUUUUUUUUUUGCUGCAAAUUUCCUUUUUUGCAGAUUCAAAGACAGCACAAAGAAUAAUUGUGCUUAGUUAUUUUCUCAAAUGACCUAUUUCUGUUAUGCAUCUUUAAAGUUUUACUGCUGUAAAUCUUUUUGUUUUCAUGAUGGUUUUGAUAUUAUGAAUGUCUUGCAUGUUUUACUAACUUUUUAAAGGAUAUUGGGGGGGAAAAAUGUUGGUGUAAAAUAAAAGCAACUUCAGUAAGUGUUAAGUGUGCCAAUUUAAGUUUCAGCAAUAUAUAAAACGACAAACUAACUGGUUGGAUUUUGUUAUGGGGCAGAUGUUGCUUCAGCGACAUGGCAAAAAAACCUCUUGUAUGUGAACUUAACACUAUGUUGUAAAUAAACGUGCUCUGAAGAAGCAUUCUUGUCAUUUGUA